This 272-nucleotide long non-coding RNA is filed under the name Elaeis guineensis (African oil palm). RNAcentral describes it as "long non-coding RNA (EGUI_LNC009746)". Lineage: Eukaryota; Viridiplantae; Streptophyta; Magnoliopsida; Arecales; Arecaceae. The record is from RNAcentral.
GUUGAACCGACGGAGAGAUUUUCGGCACCAGUGGCUGAACUUGAUUGUCAACCUGGCUGGCCGUCUAUCAUGAGGUGGCGGCAUUGGAAAGCCAAGAAGAUGUCCGUCUUGGAGCCAUGAAUGCGAAUGUAUGCCCUUCCUCUAUCUGUUGCUGCUUAAAUCGAUCGGGGUCAGAAGAUGGACACCUGAAAAUCUCGAGUGGAGAUGCUGGCGCUGGAGUGAUCUGCCAAAUAAGUUUCAAAUCGGAGGUUGUGGCUCCGACCGCUCAAGUC